This 492-nucleotide ribosomal RNA is filed under the name uncultured bacterium. RNAcentral's name for it is "partial 16S ribosomal RNA". It matches the Rfam family "Bacterial small subunit ribosomal RNA", at positions 29 to 507 of the family's 1533-position model. The record is from RNAcentral.
AGUGAACGCUGGCGGUAGGCCUAACACAUGCAAGUCGAACGGCAGCACAGUAAGAGCUUGCUCUUACGGGUGGCGAGUGGCGGACGGGUGAGGAAUACAUCGGAAUCUACUUUUUCGUGGGGGAUAACGUAGGGAAACUUACGCUAAUACCGCAUACGACCUACGGGUGAAAGCAGGGGAUCUUCGGACCUUGCGCGAUUGAAUGAGCCGAUGUCGGAUUAGCUAGUUGGCGGGGUAAAGGCCCACCAAGGCGACGAUCCGUAGCUGGUCUGAGAGGAUGAUCAGCCACACUGGAACUGAGACACGGUCCAGACUCCUACGGGAGGGAGCAGUGGGGAAUAUUGGACAAUGGGCGCAAGCCUGAUCCAGCCAUACCGCGUGGGUGGAGAAGGCCUUCGGGUUGUAAAGCCCUUUUGUUGGGAAAGAAAAGCAGCAGGUUAAUACCCCGCUGUUCUGACGGUACCCAAAGAAUAAGCACCGGCUAACUUCGUG